CUUUCCUCCAACCUGAGAUUGGAAAUGAGUAGAUUUUGUUACCAUUUUAAUUCCCAUCUAUGGACAAUGAUUCAGAAGCCUAAGCAGGUGAAGUGCUUUGCUCAGUGUCACUCGGCGGGUAAGAGGUAAAACCAGCCUUCAAACCC
Molecule: long non-coding RNA, 146 nt
Filed under: Mustela putorius furo (domestic ferret)
Lineage: Eukaryota; Metazoa; Chordata; Mammalia; Carnivora; Mustelidae
Description: lncRNA (ENSMPUG00000029907.1)
Source: RNAcentral